Molecule: ribosomal RNA, 429 nt
Filed under: bacterium
Lineage: Bacteria
Description: partial 16S ribosomal RNA
Rfam family: Bacterial small subunit ribosomal RNA
Source: RNAcentral
UGGGGAAUCUUCCGCAAUGGACGAAAGUCUGACGGAGCAACGCCGCGUGAGUGAAGAAGGCCUUCGGGUUGUAAAGCUCUGUUAUUCGGGAAGAACGAUUCGUUUGUGAACAAUGAACGGAAGUGACGGUACCGAAAGAGAAAGCCACGGCUAACUACGUGCCAGCAGCCGCGGUAAUACGUAGGUGGCAAGCGUUGUCCGGAAUUAUUGGGCGUAAAGAGCGCGUAGGCGGUAUGAUAAGUCUGUCUUAGAAGUGCGGGGCUUAACCCCGUGAGGGGACAGAGACUGUCAUACUAGAGUCUCGGAGAGGAAAGCGGAAUUCCUAGUGUAGCGGUGAAAGGCGUAGAGAUUAGGAAGAACACCGGUGGCGAAGGCGGCUUUCUGGACGAGCACUGACGCUGAGGCGCGAAAGCGUGGGGAGCGAACAGG